Molecule: long non-coding RNA, 834 nt
Filed under: Medicago truncatula (barrel medic)
Lineage: Eukaryota; Viridiplantae; Streptophyta; Magnoliopsida; Fabales; Fabaceae
Description: long non-coding RNA (MTRU_LNC001615)
Source: RNAcentral
UUAUAAUAUUUUAUCACACAUAUUACAACAUAAUUAUUGAAAUUUAAAAAGGUGGUCUUUGUGUAUGUGAAUGCACAUUCACAUCACAUCACAUCAAUCCAUAUCCAUAUUCAUAUUACAUACAAAUAGGAGUUCCAUAUGCUUUCAAAUGAUUACAAUUUUUUUAACAAACAUAUUACAACAUAAUUAUUGAAAUUUAAAAAGGUGGUCUUUGUGUAUGUGAAUGCACAUUCACAUCACAUCACAUCAAUCCAUAUCCAUAUUCAUAUUACAUACAAAUAGGAGUUCCAUAUGCUUUCAAAUGAUUACAAUUUUUUUAACAAACAUAUUACAACAUAAUUAUUGAAAUUCAGAAAAGUGUUACAUAGUUAUGUAUUUCAAUCAGCAGUACAAAUAGGAGUACCAUCUGCUUCAUAAAGUAUACAUCCAGUUGAUGCAAGGCAACAAUUGCAUUUUGGGGUGAGGUGUUGAUCACCUGAAGAAGGGCAAGUCAUGUAUGCAACUGAAUCAUAGCAAAAUUGUGGGCAAAUUUUUUGUGCAUCAACAUUUUUCAGGUUGCCUCCUGAAAGAAUUGCACCUGGAUCAUAAACAAGAAAGAAAAAAUUACUCAAAUGAGCAAUCUCACAAAAGUGUAGCUUUCAUCUAUUUUUUAAUUUUUCUCACAUAAACUCGAGAUGUAUGCAUUAAGUUUAGGGGAAUAAAUUUAGUGCAAUAUAUUUCUAUAUCUUUUUUCGAACAAGAAUAUAUUUCUAUGUCUAUACAAAGUUUACUAUAAAUUGCUAAAAGAAACAAAAACAAUAUUUAGAAAGAAAGAGAGGUUAGUUCAAGAUUUAC